GAGAAGAAAAAUUAAACAAAAUGUGUUGUAAAAAUAUUAUAAUAAUAAAAGUCUAAAAUAUUAUAAUAAAAGUAAAACCUAUAAAAAGAAGUAAAAAAUAUAGAAUAAUAUAAUAUUUACGAUACUUUCACGUCUUAGACAAUAGAAAAAUAACAAAUAACAGAAGAAUAUUGGCCGAUAUGUAUAAUAAAAGAAUAGCAUAUUUGCACUAAUUUGUAUAAAAAAUCAUUUGCUUUUUGAUUGUAUUAUAAUUUGCGACACAUGUUGUAUAACCUGUUUAUGGAGAAAACAUUGUUACAUAUACGCAAGAGAAUACACGAUUGUUACUUUUUUCUUUUGGUUAUUGGUUCUUUCUUAAAAUAUUUCACUAAAAAUGCAAUAAUUCAGCAUAGUCAGCAGGUCUGAAGAACUCAUGAAAUAUUUACGUGAACGAAUCGAGUCUUACAAAAUCUAUCUAUUCGUGCCCGAAUCGCGACCACGUGCGAUAUCUACAUACACACACACACACAUACAGUGUCUUCGCAGACGAGAUAUAUAGAUUGAGCAAGCAAUGUAACUGAUCCAUUCACCACUAGAUGUCGCAGAGAUCUCGUCAAACUCGUGAAAAAAAAUCAUCGACUAGGCUACAUAAGACGCUAGCGGAGACGACAGAACCAGUCAUCAGUAAGGAUAUUACUGAUCAAUACAGCAGAUGAUGAUUAAUGGGAGAUGAUUCAUGAUUACACUCCACCCUGCUGCCGUAGGGUAUCGCAAACUACGGUUGUCAGGAAUUCUGAUGCUGCUGAUGACUCAAUUUUUUAAUCUACUAAUGACAAUUCUCCUUAUCACAGUAACCUAGGAGAUGUCAAAAUUAUUUUUUUUAUAUAAAAAAAAAAUUAAUGCUAUUACAACAAUGUUAUCAUUAUUAAGUACAUUUAGUUUUUCUAAUAGAACCACGUGUUCUGGAUAUGUAUUGAAAAAAGUAAAAAUAUAUAUAUACAAAAAAGUUUAUCCAGAAAAGUUUUAGUAUGGAAAAUACUUUUGUGCAAAAUUUAUAAAUCAUAUUUGUACAAAUAUUUGAUGACCGUUGUUAGUGUAACCAAUGUGUAUUUUUAAUACUUGCAUCUCAAUAUUUUUCUUGUUUUGUAAUAUUGAUCUAAAAUAAUAUUUUCGGAAAAAAUAAUAUAUACAGAAUGUAAAAAUAAUAUAAACAGAAGAUCUGAAAAAAAUACGGAAGAUACGGAAAAAAUUGUCAGAGGUACUGAACAUGGACAGGUAAAAUUGAAUAUCUUGUGUAUUUUAAAUCAAAGAAUAUUAAAAUUAGAGAAUAAAAAAUUAUAUUAAAAAAUGAAAUAAAUAAAGUGUCGUCACGUUGUCAAGUGACAAUGUGGUACAAAAAAAUUGUUUAACUUUUAAUUAGAUUUUUAGGACAAUUAAUUAAAAUUAAUGAAAUAAUUACACGUGUGUUCUAAAAUUGUGUAAAAAUAUAUACAAACUAAUAUUUUUUUAUAUAUUCGCGAAUUUUCAUCAAUUUGGUAGAUUUAUAAAAUGAUAAUUUUAUCGUAUUUAUCAUAAUUUUGAUCGCUUAAAACUUUUAAUUUUUCUCGUAAUGUGAGAGAAUUGUGUUCAAUAGUAGAUCCAAAAUCACAUUAAUAUGAAACUAACGCAAUACACGCGUUUGCGUGCCACUUAGUUAAUCGAAACUCAUUAGAGGCCGGCGUCGCGUGCGUCACGUGUCCGGGACAUGCGACGUGUUCGACGCUUAUCACAUAGGAAACCGGAAACCGGGGCAGAGACUAGAGACAAUAAACGGAAGUUCACAUGUCUCUCAUCCGCAGGCAAAAGUUCGAGAGGCUACGGGAAUACCCCUUAAUGCCUGUGAAAACGAAUUCCUGUCGUGCGGAUAGUUGUCGGACCGUUGCAUGUGCAACACCGAUAACACGGCAUCAAGCGCAGUCAGAUCCUACAUUCGCGGUUUCGCCGCAGGUCACGUAUCCAAAUAUUGGAAAAUUUUGAACAAUCGCGUUUCAUCUGGCGUUUUUGUACGGUUUCAAAUGCCAGAUUAUUUCUUUGACAUAGCUGUUUACGCGACUGAGAUCUUAAA
Molecule: long non-coding RNA, 2083 nt
Organism: Monomorium pharaonis (pharaoh ant)
Lineage: Eukaryota; Metazoa; Arthropoda; Insecta; Hymenoptera; Formicidae
Exons: 2
Source: RefSeq, a predicted model, not a curated record